UGGGGAAUUUUGGACAAUGGGCGCAAGCCUGAUCCAGCCAUGCCGCGUGCGGGAAGAAGGCCUUCGGGUUGUAAACCGCUUUUGUCAGGGAAGAAAUCUUCUGAGUUAAUACCUCGGGAGGAUGACGGUACCUGAAGAAUAAGCACCGGCUAACUACGUGCCAGCAGCCGCGGUAAUACGUAGGGUGCAAGCGUUAAUCGGAAUUACUGGGCGUAAAGCGUGCGCAGGCGGUUUUGUAAGACAGAGGUGAAAUCCCCGGGCUCAACCUGGGAACUGCCUUUGUGACUGCAAGGCUUGAGUGCGGCAGAGGGGGGAUGGAAUUCCGCGUGUAGCAGUGAAAUGCGUAGAUAUGCGGAGGAACACCGAUGGCGAAGGCAAUCCCCUGGGCCUGCACUGACGCUCAUGCACGAAAGCGUGGGGAGCAAACAGGAUUAGAUACCCUGGUAGUCCACGCCCUAAACGAUGUCAACUGGUUGUUGGGAAGGUUCCUUCUCAGUAACGUAGCUAACGCGUGAAGUUGACCGCCUGGGGAGUAC
RNAcentral lists this ribosomal RNA (536 nucleotides) under uncultured bacterium. RNAcentral's name for it is "partial 16S ribosomal RNA". It matches the Rfam family "Bacterial small subunit ribosomal RNA", at positions 355 to 883 of the family's 1533-position model. The record is from RNAcentral.